UUCUACCCUUCGUGCAUGUCCAACGUGGGGAUGGUGAAAGGUUACGAGGCCACGGAAAUGGAGAACCGAACGUGGAAACUGUUCCCGCCUACUCUACAACCAUACUGGUGCAGGAUGAUUAGAAAGAGAAUAAAAAGAGAAAGACAAAAAGAGAGAGAAUUCUACUAAUGUCAGAGACGAAGGUGGGAUCUCUGUAUCGGGAACAAUCGAGUGAACGUUGAGGAAGAUUAGGAACUGGACGGGGAACGGAAACAUUGGAACGUUGGAGAAUGCAAGAGGAUGUAGGCUCUAUUGUCGAA
Molecule: long non-coding RNA, 299 nt
Organism: Bombus pascuorum
Lineage: Eukaryota; Metazoa; Arthropoda; Insecta; Hymenoptera; Apidae
Exons: 2
Source: RefSeq, a predicted model, not a curated record